This 372-nucleotide ribosomal RNA is filed under the name Triticum aestivum (bread wheat). RNAcentral describes it as "partial small subunit ribosomal RNA". Lineage: Eukaryota; Viridiplantae; Streptophyta; Magnoliopsida; Poales; Poaceae. The record is from RNAcentral.
AUGCCCAGGAGGUUUGGCUCCUCCUCGACUUCCUCCUCUCACUCCUCUUCCCGCUCCUCUUCCCAUUCCUCCGACUCGUUGGCGGUGUUCGGCGUCAAGGCCGAGCCCGCAGCGGAGACGCCGCUCGGCCGACGCACUCGCAGCGCCGACAUCAUCAUCAAUGAGGGCGGCCGGCGCGCCUCCUCCUCGGCUCCUCCGCGCUUCGUCAAACCGAAGACGGAGCCGGGGCUCGCGGCCGUGAAAACGGAGCCGCGACUCCCUGCCGUGAAGACGGAGCCCGGCGCCGGGGAGCUCGACGACGCGACGGCCCUGAAAUGGGCGCGCGAUGACUGGGUGAACAUGGAGAUGGAGCGCCAGCGCCGAGCCCUAUAG